ACCUUUUUCCUUCUGAUUAUUAGCAUAAAAUAUUUAUCAUUUUGAAGCUUAGCCAAACAUGCUGAAUUUGUAAUGUCAGGCUGGUCAGAGAAGGGCGGAAAAAAGGCACAAAUUCAUGGUAGAGUUUCUUGAAGAGUUUUAUGAAGAAUGGGAUGGAAGAGCUUGAGUAAGAUGCUAGGAGAAACGAGGAAAUUCGCGAGUACUUGUCGUAUAUCAUUCCCAUUAGUGGAUUAUGUCUCUGUAAAAAGUAGUGUGUGCGGUUCUUUGCUCCUCAGUUUCAACAAAACCAAUGGCAGGUCGGAAUUCAGUUGAAUAUUUAUAUAUAUUGUUGCAAUUUACUCAAGAUCGAUAUGAUAUGUAAGUAGAUCAAUGCUCAACAUCAUAUUUACCUGCACAUUCCAUAUUGCCUACAA
Olea europaea var. sylvestris is the source of this 413-nucleotide long non-coding RNA. RefSeq lists it as uncharacterized. The transcript is spliced from 2 exons. The record is from RefSeq and is a predicted model, not a curated record. NCBI's taxonomy places the organism in Eukaryota, Viridiplantae, Streptophyta, Magnoliopsida, Lamiales, Oleaceae.